Molecule: long non-coding RNA, 2643 nt
Filed under: Anas platyrhynchos platyrhynchos (common mallard)
Lineage: Eukaryota; Metazoa; Chordata; Aves; Anseriformes; Anatidae
Description: lncRNA (ENSAPLG00000023173.1)
Source: RNAcentral
AUGGGCAGCUUGGCCCCAAUGAGCUUCAGAAAAUGUGGAGCCAAAUCCCAUGUGCUGGGAGGAAAAGCAGCUGGAAGCAGUAAAACAGGAAAGAAAAUCUCCAGGCUGGAUCACAGCACCCCACCCCUCCUCAUCCUCUCUCCAGAUGUUGCACGGACGUGUGCGAGCAGCGCUGCCUCGCUGGGAGGUGCUGAGAAGAGGGUGAUGCGCCGGGGUGACAUGCUCAAUUUCCCUCCAAGAUGGUGCAGCCACGAGAACAUUUCUCCUGCUGAUGGCGUCCAUGUGUCUCUCCCUUCUCACUGGAGCUCUGUUACACGCCAGGACGUGGUGCGAGCGUGUGUGCACCUUCUGUUCCCCGAGCCGUCCCUGCCUUUCUGGGGAGGACGAGGUGCCUGCCCUUCCGUGGUUAGUUUAAGAAAAACACUCUGCCAGUGAUCAGCGCCUGUAUGAAGUAGAUGUAUGGUUUCAAUUCUGUCCUUGAGCCAUGGAUCAUUUAAUGUUGUCAACACAUAUACAUCCUUCUCAAACAUCCCACUGAGAAUUUCUAGGGACUGUAGACAGCUUAAAGCUAGCGUUACAGCAGCAGCUUCAUAUUUGCUUUCAGAUCUACGUGCAUUUUUUAAUACUAAAGCUUGCAUAAUUGCUGCUGAAUUUCUAAGCAACUUCUUCAAAGGGACGGAGGCGCGGCAGCGGCAGGAGCGCUGGCAGAGCAGGGACAGGGCUGGGGCCUGUUGGUGGCUCGUGGCUGGCAGCAGGAGGAGCUGAGCACGUUGGGGGAGCCCCAAAGAAAGGCCAGGUCAGGACCCCCCACCUCGGUUGAGCGUGUUAUCGUCCUGACCAUGGGUGGCUGGGAUUUAGUGCUGCCUACGUGCGUUAACAGCAUUUUAGCUGUGCACGUUAUCUCACCAGGGAAGUUUUAACAGUGGGAAUAGGGCACCACUGGGCUUGUUUUCCAGGAUCUGGAUGUGCCCAGAAGCACAGCGAGAUGCCACAUGCAGCGGAGGUGACCUGGCGGGUGAAGGGUUACUGGCUGCUGCCCACUGUAGGGCUGAUGGGUUAUAAAAAGGGAGAUGAAGUGGUUCCUCAGAGGGGUCUCUGAUCUUUUCCUGAUGGUGGGGACAGAGUUACAGCUGGAUGAGGGGUUACUGGCUUCUGCUUUUGGGUUCUGUGGGGGAACAAACCCAGCAGGACAGGACGGAGCAGGGGUAUUUCACCAGGGGAGGCUGCAGGCUCUCCCUGGUCUCUGCUGAUGGAGCUGUGGGAGGUGUGCUGCUGCUCCACAGUCAUGCCCCAAGCUCUGGUUGCGAUGCCCAUCCCCACAGUGGUCAGUGUGCCCUGGGAAAGGAGCAGGGACCCCCCCCCGGGGAGCAAGUCACCCUCCUCUUCAUCAGCUGCCAGCUGAUUAUGGGUGUUGGGCAGAGAUGUGGACAGGAGGUGGUGAUGGUGGUGAUUGCUGCUGGGCUGUGGGACCAGCAGGCUGAGGGUUUGCUGGAGAACCUGCAGCAGCUGCUGGCUCCCUAGAGGUGCUGGUGAAGCCAGGUUCCCAAAGCCUUCUUGUGCCUUUGGGAACAUGGAGGAGCUGAGGGUGACGAUUGCUCCUGGGAACUUUGCUGCAGGCAGGUGGGGGCAGCUCCACCUCUCCCCUAAGAAAGGGCAAUUCUGGGGCUGACACCAACCCCAGGCAUCCCCCUGUACUGAGGGGGAUGUCCCCUCUCCAUCCUCUGGCUGUCGCAGCAGCAUCACUUCUAAGGCACCUGGUCAGCCAAACUCCAUUUGCUGUGUCUAUGUAUUUAUUAUGUUGGAGCCCAGCGUAAUUACUUUACAGCUCUGAACAUUAAAUAUCAUUUGUCUUAUUCCAGCAGGUCCAAAUCUUUAUGAAUUGUAUCUGACGCUUGCUCCCUUCAAUUAUCUGCCAUCAGAAAAAGUUUACUGUUGUUGCAAAAAUACCAAUUUGCCAGAGGUUGCAAUGCAUUUACUCUCCACCUCUGUAAUUUACAAACUUACAUUUUAUGAUUAGAAAGAAAAAUGGCUAAUAGAAGAAAUAGUCAUGCAAAAUCAAUACUGAAUAAGAUGCUGCCACCUUUUGGCUUAACCUAAUUCUACAUCUGGGGCCAAAUUCAUCCCUGGUGUUGCUGGGUGAGGAGCUACUGCUGGUACUGGCUCCCUCUGACCAUGGAUGGGGCAGGUGGAGCUGGUGCUGGGGGAUUUGCAGGCUCUAGAGUGAGGAAAUUUCCCAUGGCUGUGCUUCUGCAAGUGAAGUUCCCUUCUUGCAUGUGCAGAGCCAGACUAGAGGUUCCUAGGAGGAUUUGCUCUCCUUUUGACCUCCUGGGAGGCUGCUCCUGGAGCUGCAUCCUGGGUACAGGGACAGGCACUGGGGCUGGUGAGACUCAGCAUGUGGCUGAGGGUGUCAAACCCAGCUUUGAACCUGGUGGAUGCUUCAUCUGAGCUUGUAGGCAGCCUCCACACCACCGGUCUGCAGUACACUUACACAGCAGGCAACGCAGUGGGACUCAAACACUGUCAGUCUUGGUAGCUAUUGGAUGUGUUUCUUCUUCAGUUCCAGCUCACUGCAAUGGGCUGUGGAGCCCAAAUACCAGUGUGCUUAAAAAUAAAUAAAUAAAUAAAACUAAAAACCUACCCCCC